CUUAAAUCUUUUGGCCCAGCUCCUACCUCCCGGCAGCCUUGCCAGGCCCAGAACUCUCUCCAGUCAGCCUCUACAGACCAAGCUCAUGACUCACAAUGGCCUAUUUAGGCCCAUACCCUACCUCACGGCAGUCUCCGCAGAUGAGCCUACUGCCUCACAACAGCCUCCACAGGCACAGCUCCAUCGUUCCAAUGGCCUCUUUAGACCCAGCUCCUGCCUCCCAGCCUUGUCUCCAGGCCCUGAACUUUCUCCGGUCUCCCUCUGUUGUCCAAGGCUGGAGGGUAGUAGUGCUAUCGCAGCUGACUGCAGCCUCAACCUUCCAGGCUGAAGCGAUCCUCCCAUCUCAACCUCCCACGUGGCUGAGACUACAGGUGCUUGCCACUACGCCCAACUAAUAUUUGGUUUUUUCAUAUACGUGGAUUCCAGAGGGGUGACAGCGAAACGUGAGUGGGACCAUCCAGUUUCAGGAAAACAAGCUUAACACGCCCACUGGUUCUACAUUAUGCUCCUACCUCCCGGCAGCCUCGCCAGGCCCAGAACUCUCUCCAGUCAGCCUCUACAGACCAAGCUCAUGACUCACAAUGGCCUAUUUAGGCCCAUACCCUACCUCACGGCAGUCUCCGCAGAUGAGCCUACUGCCUCACAACAGCCUCCACAGGCACAGCUCCAUCGUUCCAAUGGCCUCUUUAGACCCAGCUCCUGCCUCCCAGCCUUGUCUCCAGGCCCUGAACUUUCUCCGUGGGACCAUCCAGUUUCAGGAAAACAAGCUUAACACGCCCACUGAUUCUACAUUAUGCUCCUACCUCCCGGCAGCCUCGCCAGGCCCAGAACUCUCUCCAGUCAGCCUCUACAGACCAAGCUCAUGACUCACAAUGGCCUAUUUAGGCCCAUACCCUACCUCACGGCAGUCUCCGCAGAUGAGCCUACUGCCUCACAACAGCCUCCACAGGCACAGCUCCAUCGUUCCAAUGGCCUCUUUAGACCCAGCUCCUGCCGCCCAGCCUUCUCUCUAGGCCCUGAACUUUCUCCGUAAUUUGAGGUAGCUGGGACUGUAGGUAUACAUGAUGAUACUUGGCUAAUUUUUACAUUGUUUUGCAGACAUGGGGUCUCACUUUGUUGGCCAGGCUGCUGUCAAACUAAUGGCCUCAAGUGACCCUUCCACCCCUGCCUCCCAUCCUCGAGGUAUGUGCCACCAGAAGGAGCACUUGUUCAAUUUUCUAAAGAAAAAAUUUCUAAAGUAAGGCUGUGGGAUGAUGGCAGGAAGAUAAAAGAAAAACAGAAGAAUAAGUUAAAAUGACUUAUUCACACAUAUUCUUUUGACAGCAAGAAGAACUGUUAGUAUAUACAUUGCUUACAAACAAACAAACGGCAGAUAAACAAUGUUGUAUAGGAACUUCAACACACACUGUACAAUAUUCCCACUUUGCUGACAUAAGUUAUGGAAAUUUCGUGGUUUCCUUGAGUGUCGCUACCAGUAUUUUGGUCCUCUGACGAUUUUUAUCAACUUCCUCAUCUGUUAACUUCUCUCCAAAGUAUGUCAUGUCACGACAUACUGCCGCUGCACGAACACAGCCAGUGUCUUCCUAUUAAACAUGUAGAAUGCUUUCCUAAUUUCUCUUUUUACUCUCUGUCUUUGUGUUCUGCACUUUCCUUACUUUUAUUGUCAGAAACUCCAGAAAGUCAAUCGUACUAAUUUAUCACGAUUUGCUUUAUUAAUUUAUACUAUGCUUAUAUGGAAUUUUGCCCAACAGACCUCAUUACAAUUUGGGCCAGGGCCCAGGGUUAGGUUUGUUUCAGGGUCAGGGCCAGGGCCCAGGGUUAGGCAUGUUUUAG
RNA transcript from Gorilla gorilla gorilla (western lowland gorilla), 1833 nucleotides. RefSeq lists it as uncharacterized. The transcript is spliced from 6 exons. Lineage: Eukaryota; Metazoa; Chordata; Mammalia; Primates; Hominidae. The record is from RefSeq and is a predicted model, not a curated record.